UAAUACGAGGGGUGCAAGCGUUAUUCGGAAUUAUUGGGCGUAAAGGGUGUGUAGACGGCAUACUAAGUCAACUGUUUAAUUCUCCGGCCUAACCGGAGGUCAGCGGUAGAAACUGGUAAGCUAGAGUAUGGAAGAGAGAAGUGGAAUUCUCGGAGUAGCGGUAAAAUGCGUAGAUCUCGAGAGGAACACCAAUGGCGAAAGCAGCUUCUUGGUCCAUUACUGACGUUGAGACACGAAAGCGUGGGGAGCAAACAGGAUUAGAUACCCUGGUAGUCCACGCUGUAAACGAUGAUCACUAGACGUUAGCCUUGUUCUACAGGGCUAGUGUCGUAGCUAACGCGUUAAGUGAUCCGCCUGGGAACUACGGUCGCAAGACUA
This 378-nucleotide ribosomal RNA is filed under the name uncultured bacterium. RNAcentral's name for it is "bacterial SSU rRNA". It matches the Rfam family "Bacterial small subunit ribosomal RNA", at positions 521 to 896 of the family's 1533-position model. The record is from RNAcentral.